Molecule: long non-coding RNA, 213 nt
Filed under: Sorghum bicolor (sorghum)
Lineage: Eukaryota; Viridiplantae; Streptophyta; Magnoliopsida; Poales; Poaceae
Description: long non-coding RNA (SBIC_LNC009880)
Source: RNAcentral
GGCUACUAACGCUCACUUCAAAAUCAAGCGGCUUUUAUGGUUACUAGUGCCCCUCCGACAGCAAGCGACAAAAAUCUCUACGGCUACUAACGUCACUUCAAAAUCAAGCAGCUUUUACGGUUACUAGUGCCCCUCCGACAGCAAGCGACAAAAAUCUCUACGGCUACUAACGUCACUUUAAAAUCAAGCGGCUUUUAUGGUUACUAGUGCUCC